RNAcentral lists this ribosomal RNA (499 nucleotides) under uncultured bacterium. Its description in RNAcentral is "partial 16S ribosomal RNA". It matches the Rfam family "Bacterial small subunit ribosomal RNA", at positions 899 to 1397 of the family's 1533-position model. The record is from RNAcentral.
ACUCAAAUGAAUUGACGGGGGCCCGCACAAGCAGCGGAGCAUGUUCUUUAAUUCGACGCAACGCGAAGAACCUUACCAGGGCUUGACAUGCACGGGAAUGUCAUAGAGAUAUGGCAGCCCUUCGGGGCUCGUGCACAGGUGUUGCAUGGCCGUCGUCAGCUCGUGUCGUGAGAUGUUGGGUUAAGUCCCGCAACGAGCGCAACCCCUGUCCUUAGUUGCCAGCGAGUAAUGUCGGGGACUCUAGGGAGACUGCCGGCGACAAGUCGGAGGAAGGUGGGGAUGAUGUCAGGUCAGCAUGACCCUUAUGUCCUGGGCUAGAAACGUGCUACAUUGGCCGGCACAAAGGGCUGCAAACCCGCGAGGGGGAGCGAAUCCCAAAAAACCGGUCCCGGUUCGGAUUGGAGGCUGAAACUCGCCUCCAUGAAGGCGGAGUUGCUAGUAAUCGCGGAUCAGCAACGCCGCGGUGAAUACGUUCUCGGGCCUUGUACACACCGCCCGU